RNAcentral lists this ribosomal RNA (498 nucleotides) under uncultured Glomus. Its description in RNAcentral is "SSU rRNA". It matches the Rfam family "Eukaryotic small subunit ribosomal RNA", at positions 569 to 1071 of the family's 1831-position model. Lineage: Eukaryota; Fungi; Glomeromycota; Glomeromycetes; Glomerales; Glomeraceae. The record is from RNAcentral.
CGCAGCCGCGGUAAUUCCAGCUCCAAUAGCGUAUAUUAAAGUUGUUGCAGUUAAAAAGCUCGUAGUUGAAUUUCGGGAUCAGUACGCUGGUCGUGCCUUUGGUAUGUACUGGUGUCACUGAUUCCUCCCUUCUGAAGAACCGUUAUGCCAUUUAUUUGGUGUGGCGGGGAAUCAGGACUGUUACUUUGAAAAAAUUAGAGUGUUUAAAGCAGGCUCGCGCUUGAAUACAUUAGCAUGGAAUAAUGAAAUAGGACGUUUGAUCUUAUUUUGUUGGUUUCUAGGAUCGACGUAAUGAUUAAUAGGGAUAGUUGGGGGCAUUAGUAUUCAAUUGUCAGAGGUGAAAUUCUUGGAUUUAUUGAAGACUAACUACUGCGAAAGCAUUUGCCAAGGAUGUUUUCAUUAAUCAAGAACGAAAGUUAGGGGAUCGAAGACGAUCAGAUACCGUCGUAGUCUUAACCAUAAACUAUGCCGACUAGGGAUCGGAUGAUGUUAAUUUUU